CUGGGUGUGGUUUUGAAACUUCUGUGAAUGAUGUGUAUGCCUUCGACUCAGUCCUUAACUUAAAGAGGGGAGGAGGAGCGUAUUAGUUGGAGCACAGUUUGAGCUUGGGGUUGCAUUGGAGCUAAGGAGCAACUUGUAUGAUCUGCUGUAUUCUCUGUUUAAGCUAUGGCUUUAGGAUCAUCACACUAAGGGCAUAUAAAGACAAUUGGGCUUUAAAUCAAUCCCAAGUGAAAGCUGGCAGUACUUUUGUUAAUGAUCUCAGAGUUUUAGAAGACUUCCAACAUGCACACCAUCCCAAGGGUCCUGGACUUCCUGACGGGCUGACCCUAAGUGGUGAAGGUAGGCAACGACACCUCCGCCACGCUGAUCCUCAACACAGGGGCCCCUGUACUUCCUGUUCACCCAUGACUAUGUGGC
Molecule: long non-coding RNA, 417 nt
Filed under: Salmo salar (Atlantic salmon)
Lineage: Eukaryota; Metazoa; Chordata; Actinopteri; Salmoniformes; Salmonidae
Description: lncRNA (ENSSSAG00000093648.1, ENSSSAG00020064945.1)
Source: RNAcentral